CCCUGUGGCUCAGUUGGUAGAGCAUGGUGUGUGCAACGCUAGGGUUGUUGGUUCGAUUCCCACCGGGG
This 68-nucleotide transfer RNA is filed under the name Salmo salar (Atlantic salmon). It matches the Rfam family "tRNA". From Rfam's summary of the family: Transfer RNA (tRNA) molecules are approximately 80 nucleotides in length. Their secondary structure includes four short double-helical elements and three loops (D, anti-codon, and T loops). The record is from Rfam by way of RNAcentral. Lineage: Eukaryota; Metazoa; Chordata; Actinopteri; Salmoniformes; Salmonidae.